RNAcentral lists this ribosomal RNA (445 nucleotides) under uncultured bacterium. Its description in RNAcentral is "partial 16S ribosomal RNA". It matches the Rfam family "Bacterial small subunit ribosomal RNA", at positions 354 to 796 of the family's 1533-position model. The record is from RNAcentral.
GUGAGGAAUAUUGGUCAAUGGGCGAGAGCCUGAACCAGCCAACUCGCGUGAAGGAUGAAGGUUUUAUGAAUUGUAAACUUCUUUUGCAGGGGAAUAAAGUACGGUACGUGUACCGUUUUGUAUGUACUCUGCGAAUAAGGAUCGGCUAACUCCGUGCCAGCAGCCGCGGUAAUACGGAGGAUCCAAGCGUUAUCCGGAUUUAUUGGGUUUAAAGGGUGCGCAGGCGGGUUGAUAAGUCAGCGGUGAAAGUUUGCAGCUUAACUGUAAAAUUGACGUUGAAACUGUCGAUCUUGAGUGCAAAUGAGGUAAGCGGAAUGUGUUGUGUAGCGGUGAAAUGCUUAGAUAUAACACAGAACACCGAUUGCGAAGGCAGCUUACUGGGAUGCAACUGACGCUCAUGCACGAAAGCGUGGGGAUCAAACAGGAUUAGAAACCCCUGUAGUCC